AUGGCCCAUGCGUCCAUCCCGGUCCUGGCUGUCCCGUCCAUCCCCAUCUGGCGACCGCUCGCCAUGGUCUGUCAGUC
Molecule: small RNA, 77 nt
Filed under: Xanthomonas pisi
Lineage: Bacteria; Pseudomonadati; Pseudomonadota; Gammaproteobacteria; Lysobacterales; Lysobacteraceae
Also listed under: 1 other name
Description: sX9 sRNA
Rfam family: Xanthomonas sRNA sX9
Source: RNAcentral